GACGUAGGGGGCGAGCGUUGUCCGGAUUUAUUGGGCGGAAAGCGCGCGCAGGCGGUUCGGAAAGUCGGGCGUGAAAUGCCGGGGCUCAACCCCGGGACUGCGUCCGAUACUUCCGAGCUGGAGGUAGGUAGGGGAGAUCGGAAUUCCUGGUGUAGCGGUGAAAUGCGCAGAUAUCAGGAGGAACACCGGUGGCGAAGGCGGAUCUCUGGGCCUUACCUGACGCUGAGGCGCGAAAGCUAGGGGAGCGAACAGG
Molecule: ribosomal RNA, 253 nt
Filed under: uncultured bacterium
Lineage: Bacteria
Description: partial 16S ribosomal RNA
Rfam family: Bacterial small subunit ribosomal RNA
Source: RNAcentral